GACGAACGCUGGCGGCGUGCUUAACACAUGCAAGUCGAACGGAAAGGCCCUGCUUUUGUGGGGUGCUCGAGUGGCGAACGGGUGAGUAACACGUGAGUAACCUGCCCUUGACUUUGGGAUAACUUCAGGAAACUGGGGCUAAUACCGGAUAGGAGCUCCUGCUGCAUGGUGGGGGUUGGAAAGUUUCGGCGGUUGGGGAUGGAUGCGCGGCUUAUCAGCUUGUUGGUGGGGUAGUGGCUUACCAAGGCUUUGACGGGUAGCCGGCCUGAGAGGGUGACCGGCCACAUUGGGACUGAGAUACGGCCCAGACUCCUACGGGAGGCAGCAGUGGGGAAUAUUGCACAAUGGGCGGAAGCCUGAUGCAGCAACGCCGCGUGCGGGAUGACGGCCUUCGGGUUGUAAACCGCUUUCGCCUGUGACGAAGCGUGAGUGACGGUAAUGGGUAAAGAAGCACCGGCUAACUACGUG
This 468-nucleotide ribosomal RNA is filed under the name uncultured bacterium. Its description in RNAcentral is "partial 16S ribosomal RNA". It matches the Rfam family "Bacterial small subunit ribosomal RNA", at positions 28 to 507 of the family's 1533-position model. The record is from RNAcentral.